This 638-nucleotide ribosomal RNA is filed under the name Exiguobacterium mexicanum. RNAcentral's name for it is "bacterial SSU rRNA". It matches the Rfam family "Bacterial small subunit ribosomal RNA", at positions 59 to 669 of the family's 1533-position model. Lineage: Bacteria; Bacillati; Bacillota; Bacilli; Caryophanales. The record is from RNAcentral.
CAGUCGAGCGCAGGAAUCGACGGAACCCUUCGGGGGGAAGUCGACGGAAUGAGCGGCGGACGGGUGAGUAACACGUAAAGAACCUGCCCUCAGGUCUGGGAUAACCACGAGAAAUCGGGGCUAAUACCGGAUGGGUCAUCGGACCGCAUGGUCCGAGGAUGAAAGGCGCUUCGGCGUCGCCUGGGGAUGGCUUUGCGGUGCAUUAGCUAGUUGGUGGGGUAAUGGCCCACCAAGGCGACGAUGCAUAGCCGACCUGAGAGGGUGAUCGGCCACACUGGGACUGAGACACGGCCCAGACUCCUACGGGAGGCAGCAGUAGGGAAUCUUCCACAAUGGACGAAAGUCUGAUGGAGCAACGCCGCGUGAACGAUGAAGGCCUUCGGGUCGUAAAGUUCUGUUGUAAGGGAAGAACAAGUGCCGCAGGCAAUGGCGGCACCUUGACGGUACCUUGCGAGAAAGCCACGGCUAACUACGUGCCAGCAGCCGCGGUAAUACGUAGGUGGCAAGCGUUGUCCGGAAUUAUUGGGCGUAAAGCGCGCGCAGGCGGCCUCUUAAGUCUGAUGUGAAAGCCCCCGGCUCAACCGGGGAGGGCCAUUGGAAACUGGGAGGCUUGAGUAUAGGAGAGAAGAGUGGAAUUC